Molecule: ribosomal RNA, 497 nt
Filed under: uncultured bacterium
Lineage: Bacteria
Description: partial 16S ribosomal RNA
Rfam family: Bacterial small subunit ribosomal RNA
Source: RNAcentral
GACGAACGCUGGCGGCGUGCCUAAUACAUGCAAGUUGAGCGAUGAAGAUUGGUGCUUGCCCCAAUUUGAAGAGCAGCGAACGGGUGAGUAACGCGUGGGGAAUCUGCCUUUGAGCGGGGGACAACAUUUGGAAACGAAUGCUAAUACCGCAUAACAACUUUAAACAUAAGUUUUAAGUUUGAAAGAUGCAAUUGCAUCACUCAAAGAUGAUCCCGCGUUGUAUUAGCUAGUUGGUGAGGUAAAGGCUCACCAAGGCGAUGAUACAUAGCCGACCUGAGAGGGUGAUCGGCCACAUUGGGACUGAGGCACGGCCCAAACUCCUACGGGAGGCAGCAGUAGGGAAUCUUCGGCAAUGGACGAAAGUCUGACCGAGCAACGCCGCGUGAGUGAAGAAGGUUUUCGGAUCGUAAAACUCUGUUGGUAGAGAAGAACGUUGGUGAGAGUGGAAAGCUCAUCAAGUGACGGUAACUACCCAGAAAGGGACGGCUAACUACGUG